CAGGACCCCCCUGUACGCCGUCCGCGGCCGUCCAGGGUCGCACCGGCGACGGAACCCGCCGGCAGCAAUUAGCCAGCAUCCCGGGGUCGGCCCCCAGAAGCAUUCCCCGGCCCAGGACGAGGAUGAACAGGACAGGCGAGGCACAAAGUCGCAACUUAACUUUUUAGAAACAUUAUUUGUGUGUGUAUGUGUGUAACAGGAGAGAAUGAGCUGAUGCCGAGGGUCCAGCCACCCCGCCUCUGCCUCCUCCUCCCCCUGCCGCCGCUGCCCUCGCAGACGCGCGCGCACACACGGCACUUGGGCCGGGUUUCCGCGCUCCGUCCCCCCGUUUGGAUGGGGGUUUUCAUUUCCGAAGGAGGCAGAGCCCGCGGAGCGCUCUGAAGGGCUGGAGCCCCAAGUUACUCCUCGCCAGCGCUGGCCGCCCGCUGUCACUCGCGCUGGCUGGCCGGGGGAAGGGACCUGCACACCGGGCUUUGUUGUGGAAAUCCCGGUUACCUGGCUUAUAACCCACACCAUGGAUAACUUACUGGACUUUGCCUGAAAGGAGUCAUUAGUGACAUUGGAUAUUUCACCGUCUUGGCCACAGGUUUUUCAGAAUGAAUGGAAGAUCAUGCAGCAUGAGUCUCCACCGGACAUCGGGAACCCCACAGGGGCCUAGGAUGGUCAGUGGUCAGCACAUUCCUGCCAUCCGAGCCCACUCCGGGACUCCUGGCCCCUCGCCCUGUGGCAGCACAUCGAGUCCCACUAUGGGAAGCCUUGCUAACAACCUCCAUCUCAAGAUGCCCUUAGGAGGAGGGAUGGCUCCUCAGAACAACGUGGCUGAGAGCCCCAUCCAUCUGCCUGCCUUAAGCCCCAGGAGACAAAUGCUCACCAAUGGGAAGCCGCGAUUCCAGGUCACCCAGGCUGGAGGCAUGUCAGGGUCACAUACUUUAAAGCCAAAGCAGCAGGAGUUUGGAAGCCCUUUUCCUCCAAAUCCUGGGAAAGGUAGGAUUGUCUUUCUGGGACCUUUUAAAAAUGGAAACGAUUUUUUUCUCCCCCAUCCCAUUUUCUGCCAGCAAAUCCUAUGGAAAAAUACAUGAUUCAGAGUCAGGGUCAAUGUUGAUGGUCUCAUAAUGAUAUAUAGCUUGCUCAGUAAGGGAGUGGGUGUGUAUGUGUUGGAGGGGACCACAGUGGUAAAUGCCGAGUAUGAGACAUCUCCUGGGACUGUGAAACAGAGUAACAGUAAGAUAGAAAGAUAGGAAAUAGGGAGGCAGGCUGGGUGGUUUGUGGUGGAAGGGUAAGAGUUAGGUUAGCAAGAUCCUGCCCUCCGGAUACAUGUAGCUCUGUCCUGUUUCCCUGGGGGCUGAAUUCUCCAGGCCAUGGACGAGAAGACUGACUGGAACUGUCUUUAUGCCAGUGCUAAAAGUGUAGUGUAGAAGAAAGGUGGUGUUUGAAAGGAAACGAAUUAAAAAAAAGAAGACAUUUUAAUAACUAAUAAAAUGAGGAAUC
This 1488-nucleotide small RNA is filed under the name Pongo abelii (Sumatran orangutan). RNAcentral describes it as "retained intron". The record is from RNAcentral. Lineage: Eukaryota; Metazoa; Chordata; Mammalia; Primates; Hominidae.